Molecule: long non-coding RNA, 811 nt
Organism: Mugil cephalus (flathead mullet)
Lineage: Eukaryota; Metazoa; Chordata; Actinopteri; Mugiliformes; Mugilidae
Exons: 4
Source: RefSeq, a predicted model, not a curated record
UCAAUCUCAGCUAGAUCAAGCCUGAGGCGUUUAAACCUAACCGGAGUCCACUUGGGUCGGGUUGGCAUCGGGUCAGGUCUAAUCAGGUGCCGGCUACAAAUCAAAGCUCUGGUGUGCCCUUCUAAAUUGAUAAACUGCUUUCAACUUGAAAGCACUGUGUCCUGCUAAAAAAAAAAAAAAAAAAAAGAAGACAGCCGGUGCCUGUUGUGAAGCAACCGGCUUUUCCAUUGGCUUUAUGGCUUCUUAAUAUUUAUAGUUUGAUUAAAUCACAAUGCUGUGAACAGGCUUUGCUCGCAGAUCUAGAAUCCUUCUUCUUCCUUCACCUUCUAAUCCCUCGUCUCCCUUCGCUCUCCUCCAGAUGAUUGAGAAAGCACAAAGACAGCCAUGAGCAUUUAGUUCCAGACUGAUGAUCCAGGUCUUGGAGGAGGUGGUGAGGCGGCAUGGACUGACAGAGCUCCAAGUGAUGGAGCAAUCACUCAUGGCACGGGGCUGUAAACAACACCCUCGCCCAACAAGGAGGGGACAUUAACUACACAAUGAAGAUGGAACUGCAGCAGAGCAGGUGACAAGUCCUGUGAGUUCACCUACACCACAUGAAAGCAAGUGGAGGAGAUUAAAAACAUGACAGCGGCUGCAGGCAAAGCUUAAACCUGGAGGAGGAACAACAAGCACUCCUUCAGUUCCACUGGUCCAUAUAGUCACAGAAACCAGAAACAGAUGUGCCCCAGAUGUGAAUCCGCCCUGGAGACCUCAACUCUGCACCAGUUUGCUGAUGAUAUCUGAGAGACCUCUGGAGCCUUCCAAAGAACAG